Molecule: ribosomal RNA, 585 nt
Filed under: uncultured bacterium
Lineage: Bacteria
Description: bacterial SSU rRNA
Rfam family: Bacterial small subunit ribosomal RNA
Source: RNAcentral
GCCCGCACAAGCGGUGGAGCAUGUGGUUUAAUUCGACGCAACGCGAAGAACCUUACCAGGGCUUGACAUGCCGGUGGUACUGAGCCGAAAGGUGAGGGACCCUUAGGCGAUGAGUUUAAGGGAGCCGGCACAGGUGGUGCAUGGUUGUCGUCAGCUCGUGUCGUGAGAUGUUGGGUUAAGUCCCGCAACGAGCGCAACCCCUGCCCCUAGUUGCCAGCGGGUGGAGCCGGGCACUCUAGGGGGACUGCCGUUGACGAAACGGAGGAAGGUGGGGAUGACGUCAAAUCAUCAUUCCCUUUAUGCCCUGGGCUACACACGUGCUACAAUGGCCGGUACAGAGGGUUGCGAACCCGUGAGGGGGAGCGAAUCCCAGAAAGUCGGUCUCAGUUCGGAUUGCAGGUUGCAACUCGCCUGCAUGAAGGCGGAAUCGCUAGUAAUCGCCGGUCAGCAUACGGCGGUGAAUACGUUCCCGGGCCUUGUACACACCGCCCGUCACACCACGAAAGCCGACAACACCCGAAGCCGGUGGAGCUAACCCCCGUAGAGGUGGGGGCAGCCGUCGAAGGUGGGGUCGGUGAUAGUGUG